This 468-nucleotide ribosomal RNA is filed under the name uncultured bacterium. RNAcentral describes it as "partial 16S ribosomal RNA". It matches the Rfam family "Bacterial small subunit ribosomal RNA", at positions 28 to 507 of the family's 1533-position model. The record is from RNAcentral.
GACGAACGCUGGCGGCGUGCUUAACACAUGCAAGUCGAACGGAAAGGCCCUGCUUUUGUGGGGUGCUCGAGUGGCGAACGGGUGAGUAACACGUGAGUAACCUGCCCUUGACUUUGGGAUAACUUCAGGAAACUGGGGCUAAUACCGGAUAGGAGCUCCUGCUGCAUGGUGGGGGUUGGAAAGUUUCGGCGGUUGGGGAUGGACUCGCGGCUUAUCAGCUUGUUGGUGGGGUAGUGGCUUACCAAGGCUUUGACGGGUAGCCGGCCUGAGAGGGUGACCGGCCACAUUGGGACUGAGAUAAGGCCCAGACUCCUACGGGAGGCAGCAGUGGGGAAUAUUGAACAAUGGGCGGAAGCCUGAUGCAGCAACGCCGCGUGCGGGAUGACGGCCUUCGGGUUGUAAACCGCUUUCGCCUGUGACGAAGCGUGAGUGACGGUAAUGGGUAAAGAAGCACCGGCUAACUACGUG